This 353-nucleotide ribosomal RNA is filed under the name uncultured bacterium. RNAcentral's name for it is "bacterial SSU rRNA". It matches the Rfam family "Bacterial small subunit ribosomal RNA", at positions 8 to 349 of the family's 1533-position model. The record is from RNAcentral.
AGAGUUUGAUCAUGGCUCAGGAUGAACGCUAGCUACAGGCUUAACACAUGCAAGUCGAGGGGAAACGACAUCGAAAGCUUGCUUUUGAUGGGCGUCGACCGGCGCACGGGUGAGUAACGCGUAUCCAACCUGCCCAUCACUUGGGGAUAACCUUGCGAAAGUAAGACUAAUACCCAAUGAUAUCUCUAGAAGACAUCUGAAAGAGAUUAAAGAUUUAUCGGUGAUGGAUGGGGAUGCGUCUGAUUAGCUUGUUGGCGGGGUAACGGGCCACCAAGGCUACGGAUCAGUAGGGGUUCUGAGAGGAAGGUCCCCCACAUUGGAACUGAGACACGGUCCAAACUCCUACGGGAGCA